Long non-coding RNA from Mirounga angustirostris (Northern elephant seal), 727 nucleotides. RefSeq lists it as uncharacterized. The record is from RefSeq and is a predicted model, not a curated record. The transcript has 4 exons. Lineage: Eukaryota; Metazoa; Chordata; Mammalia; Carnivora; Phocidae.
GUUUUAAGGUUGGGGAGUGAAGUCUGUAUUGGUAAUUUACGUUUUGAACUCAUCAGAUUAUAUACGGUAAUUUCAGCCACGGGAUUGUAUGAGAUGGACCAGGAAGACAGUAUAAAGUGACCAUCAAAAAAGGACCGAGGACCGAAUAUCAACAGCUAAGAAUAAGCAGAGAAAGAGAAGAUUCGGGAUGUCCAAGAGCUUCUUGGAAAAGGGUUUUGGUUUUAGUGUUGUCUCUGGACAGGAAAGUGGAGAAUGGGAGAUUGAAGCUCAUCCGCAGGACCACAAACAAUGAUGGGCGCUGUGGGAAUCAAAUGGCAGCAGUGGCCCUGGAGAGUGGGAGGAGCUUGGGUGCAUGGAAGUCAGAGACCCGGAUUCCAGCCCCAGCUCUGCUACAACUACAGGACCUCGGGGACUAUGAUCAAGCACUUUGGUGUCUCCCCCCAGCCCCCAAAAGGGCUUGGUCGAAGGCCUUGGCUCCUCCAGGAUUCUUAGAGAAAUGCAAGUUGAGACGACCUUUUACUGUCAAGAUGACAUCUGCAGUGCAUCCUGCUGCACUUCACAAUGGCAAACAAAAUUUCUUCUCCCAGGGAAACUUCUAAUGUCCAAAGUCAGAGAACGACUGGGCUAGUAACACCCCAAAAUGGUAUCAUGGCAAAAAACAAAAAUAAAAAAGACUCUAGAAAAACAAAUCAUACUUCCUGAAGUUUGACUCUCUAUAAAUCCACAC